This 487-nucleotide long non-coding RNA is filed under the name Zostera marina. RNAcentral describes it as "long non-coding RNA (ZMAR_LNC005286)". Lineage: Eukaryota; Viridiplantae; Streptophyta; Magnoliopsida; Alismatales; Zosteraceae. The record is from RNAcentral.
GACACGGAGUUCCCGGGCGUCGUUCUCCGGCCGGUAGGUACCUUCAAGUCAAACUCCGAUUACCACUACAAGACUCUGAAAUCCAACGUCGAUCUCCUCAAGCUCAUCCAGUUAGGACUCACCUUCUCAGACGAGUACGGUAACCUACCUACUUCUCCGGACUCCGGACGCCACUGCGUGUGGCAGUUUAACUUUCGUGAGUUCGAUCCCAACUCUGAUAUGUUCGCCGCCGAGUCCAUCGAACUGCUCCGCCAGAGCGGGAUCGAUUUCCCGGCAAACUGCGCCAAAGGUGUCGACGCCGAGAGAUUCGCCGAGUUGAUGAUGUCAUCCGGGGUCGUUUUGAACGAUAACAUCCAGUGGGUCACCUUCCAUAGCGGCUACGAUUUUGGGUAUUUGGUGAAGAUCUUGACAUGCCAGACUUUACCCGAGACUCAAUUAGGCUUCUUCGAACUCAUCAACAUGUACUUCCCUAAUGUCUACGAUAUCA